AUAGCUCAGUAACACGUGGCCAAACUGCCCUAUAGACGGCGAUAACCUCGGGAAACUGAGGCUAAUAGCCGAUACCGUUCAACACCUGGAGUGGUGUGAACGCGAAACGUUCAGGCGCUAUAGGAUGUGGCUGCGGCCGAUUAGGUAGACGGUGGGGUAACGGCCCACCGUGCCCAUAAUCGGUACGGGUUGUGAGAGCAAGAGCCCGGAGACGGUAUCUGAGACAAGAUACCGGGCCCUACGGGGCGCAGCAGGCGCGAAACCUUUACACUGCACGCGAGUGCGAUAAGGGGACUCCGAGUGCGAGGGCAUAUAGUCCUCGCUUUUCACCACCGUAAGGUGGUGGUGGAAUAAGUGCUGGGCAAGACCGGUGCCAGCCGCCGCGGUAAUACCGGCAGCACGAGUGAUGACCGCUAUUAUUGGGCCUAAAGCGUCCGUAGCUGGCCAGGCAAGUCUAUCGGGAAAUCUGCGCGCUUAACGCGCAGGCGUCCGGUGGAAACUGCAUGGCUUGGGACCGGAAGACCAGAGGGGUACGUCCGGGGUAGGAGUGAAAUCCCGUAAUCCUGGACGGACCACCGGUGGCGAAAGCGCCUCUGGAAGACGGAUCCGACGGUGAGGGACGAAAGCUCGGGUCACGAACCGGAUUAGAUACCCGGGUAGUCCGAGCUGUAAACGAUGUCUGGCUAGGUGUGGCACAGGCUA
Molecule: ribosomal RNA, 702 nt
Filed under: halophilic archaeon
Lineage: Archaea; Methanobacteriati; Methanobacteriota; Halobacteria; Halobacteriales
Description: bacterial SSU rRNA
Rfam family: Archaeal small subunit ribosomal RNA
Source: RNAcentral